Molecule: ribosomal RNA, 444 nt
Filed under: Triticum aestivum (bread wheat)
Lineage: Eukaryota; Viridiplantae; Streptophyta; Magnoliopsida; Poales; Poaceae
Description: partial small subunit ribosomal RNA
Source: RNAcentral
AUGGACUACGAUGACAUGUUAGAUUGGAUCAUAUGGGUGCUUUUGUUGAUGUUCGCCGUCAUCGCUGCGCUCAGCGCCGCCGUGGCGAUCGCCGAGGUGGUUCGUCCCGUGCGGCAGCACUGCAAGUGGCUGUCCAUCGAGCGGCUGCUGGAGAGCAUACCCGACGUCCCAUACAAGAAGAUGCCCGAUCGAGACGGCGGCUCUCCGUCGGAGGAGGAGGAGGGGAAGGAGUUGCGCCGGAGCCAGAGCUCGUGCGUGAUCUGCCUGGCGCAGUACGAGGGCGGCGAGCGGUGCAGCGUCCUGCCGGGAUGCGGCCACGUGUUCCACAGGGGCUGCGUCGCCACGUGGCUGCACACCACGCACAACACAUGUCCGCUCUGCCGGGCGACGAUAGCCGCCGGCGCCGUGGCACAGAAGGACAACGACGCACAGGAUAUGGUGUAA